CUUUUUACAGGCUUAACACAUGCAAGUCGAGGGGCAUCAGGAAGAAAGCUUGCUUUCUUUGCUGGCGACCGGCGCACGGGUGAGUAACACGUAUCCAACCUGCCCUUUACUCGGGGAUAGCCUUUCGAAAGAAAGAUUAAUACCCGAUGGCAUAAUGAUUCCGCAUGGUUUCAUUAUUAAAGGAUUCCGGUAAAGGAUGGGGAUGCGUUCCAUUAGGUUGUUGGUGAGGUAACGGCUCACCAAGCCUUCGAUGGAUAGGGGUUCUGAGAGGAAGGUCCCCCACAUUGGAACUGAGACACGGUCCAAACUCCUACGGGAGGCAGCAGUGAGGAAUAUUGGUCAAUGGGCGCUAGCCUGAACCAGCCAAGUAGCGUGAAGGAUGAAGGCUCUAUGGGUCGUAAACUUCUUUUAUAUAAGAAUAAAGUGCAGUAUGUAUACUGUUUUGUAUGUAUUAUAUGAAUAAGGAUCGGCUAACUCCGUGCCAGCAGCCGCGGUAAUACGGAGGAUCCGAGCAUUAUCCGGAUUUAUUGGGUUUAAAGGGAGCGUAGGUGGACUGGUAAGUCAGUUGUGAAAGUUUGCGGCUCAACCGUAAAAUUGCAGUUGAUACUGUCAGUCUUGAGUACAGUAGAGGUGGGCGGAAUUCGUGGUGUAGCGGUGAAAUGCUUAGAUAUCACGAAGAACUCCGAUUGCGAAGGCAGCUCACUGGACUGCAACCGACACUGAUGCUCGAAAGUGUGGGUAUCAAACAGGAUUAGAUACCCUGGUAGUCCACACAGUAAACGAUGAAUACUCGCUGUUUGCGAUAUACAGUAAGCGGCCAAGCGAAAGCAUUAAGUAUUCCACCUGGGGAGUACGCCGGCAACGGUGAAACUCAAAGGAAUUGACGGGGGCCCGCACAAGCGGAGGAACAUGUGGUUUAAUUCGAUGAUACGCGAGGAACCUUACCCGGGCUUAAAUUGCAGUGGAAUGAUGUGGAAACAUGUCAGUGAGCAAUCACCGCUGUGAAGGUACUGCAUGGUUGUCGUCAGCUCGUGCCGUGAGGUGUCGGCUUAAGUGCCAUAACGAGCGCAACCCUUAUCUUUAGUUACUAACAGGUUAUGCUGAGGACUCUAGAGAGACUGCCGUCGUAAGAUGUGAGGAAGGUGGGGAUGACGUCAAAUCAGCACGGCCCUUACGUCCGGGGCUACACACGUGUUACAAUGGGGGGUACAGAAGGCAGCUAGCGGGUGACCGUAUGCUAAUCCCAAAAGCCUCUCUCAGUUCGGAUCGAAGUCUGCAACCCGACUUCGUGAAGCUGGAUUCGCUAGUAAUCGCGCAUCAGCCACGGCGCGGUGAAUACGUUCCCGGGCCUUGUACACACCGCCCGUCAAGCCAUGGGAGCCGGGGGUACCUGAAGUACGUAACCGCAAGGAUCGUCCUAGGGUAAAACUGGUGACUGGGGC
This 1442-nucleotide ribosomal RNA is filed under the name uncultured organism. RNAcentral describes it as "SSU rRNA". It matches the Rfam family "Bacterial small subunit ribosomal RNA". The record is from RNAcentral.